GUAUGACAGGGGUAAAACACAUGCGCACAGAUGUGCACAGAUCUCUCUAUCCUUAGCUGUUCUUCCCAAGUAAUUAAGAUCAACAUAGCUGAACUGCAGAACAUGGUGUUUCUUUGAUUUAUAACUUGCAGACUGAAUGGCCUUCAAGACUUUUAUAAGUUUCUCAACAAAGUAAGCAAGGCAGAAGUACUUAGUUCCUCCCUACUUUAUUCCGUUGUAGAAUGGCUCUUUGAUCUUUAGCCAGAGAUUGGAGCUGGAUAUGAUUACUCAGUGUUUCUCACUGAGAUGGAGCUAAGGGAAUUGGGUAAAAUUACCAGCACCAGCCCAGGACAAACAAACGAUAUGUUUCAUGUGAUGCUUAACUAAACUGCAGAAAGUAUUAACACAGAAUAUUGUGAAGGACAACAUUUCAUAAGGAUUCAAAAGUUAUUAGAUAUGCCACUCGAAGAUGUUUUACACAAUGUCCUGAGUAUACUACAGAAACUAUCUUGCCCUUGAUAAUCUUCCUCUGCCAAAUGUCUACUAUUGACCAUUUUGGAGUCAGGAGCCAGGGCUAGAAGCAUUUUUUCAUGCAACAUAGUCAUUCCUAUAAUAUGUUCCAUGCUCAUAAACUGGUAUGCAGAGUAAGAUUUUUCAGUUUUUGACACACAUGAUCUCUUGAUGAUCAUGCCAAAUGGAAUUGUUAGGUGCAUUUUAUCAAGCAUUUGAGUAACCCUAGCAUUCUCAGGGACAAAAAGCACUAUCAACUCAUUCAGUCAAAUUGUUAAGAUAUUUAUUCUACUGAAGUUUCAGAGAUAGUUAUUUUUCAUAUGGAGCAUUCUGCCUUUUGCCUUUUGAAAAGCCAGUUGUUCUCUCAGUUUCAAUGAGCCCUUUAAGCAUAACGAGAAUAUUGUGGGACUAUGAAGGCUUAAAAGCUCUGCUUGUUUCUAUGCUGUAAUAAAUGAUCAUUUCAGUACAAUGACACAGAAUUCUUUUACAUCAUUAAGUCUUCACAUUCUUUCAAAGACAUAAUUUAAUACAAAUUUUUUUUCACAUAUGCAGUCUUCCUAUUUGUCUCAAAGAAAUUUAAGACUUCAGAAACAAGCUGCACAGGUAGCCUGUACUAGGCACCCACUAUAAUGUCAACCCUACAUGUCUUCUCUUUAAUCCUUACCCAUAAGCUCUAGGCUGGGUCAUCAUUCAUCCCCAGGCAGAGCUCAGUGCAUUCCAGCUCUUCUCUCCUAUAAAGAGCUAUGUCUUUCCAGCCUGUCUUCCCUGAAAAGCCUGUAUCUCUCCAUUGCAGCACUCCAGUCAAAGGUGCCAUGCCACUAUGACUUUGUGAUCCCAAAAUGAUCAUAACACUGCAGCUGCACGCAGAUCUCUAAUUAAUGUUCAUGCUUCAUGUGUGAGCAUUAGUGUACAAGUAUAUCACUAAUAGCAACAUUUAUUGUACCGUCUUCACCAACUUACAAAACUCCAACUCACCUUCACAGUAAUCAGAUAAGACUCACACUUGAUUUUUACUGGUGUUGCCAAAGCACCAUUUUUUGCCCUAGAAGUGCUUUACAUUUCUAUCGUAUUUUAUCUCCACGUGUAAACCUCUUUGGUUCAAAACUCAUGUUAACCUUGUUUUGCAUUCCUUUCCCAUGCAAAGGUAUUUAACUGUAAGUAGCAUACAGCAAAGAAGGGCCAAUUCUAGUACCCAGACAACUCAAAAAGGUAAGAUGUGACAGAGAACUCGGAUGUUUUAGAAAGGUAUGGCACCAUCUAAAAAACCCUCAAAUUUUGCUUUUACAGAGGCAAAAUAAAGGGAUUGUCUCCAUCUUCUAUCGCUGAAAACUGUCAGUCACAUGUCAAAUGAAAACAAGCAAAGACUUCUUAGGCCUCUAACUAUAAAACAGACAGGAUAAUCAUACACAUACCAAAUGCUACUUUUAGUAAUUUUGCUCCUUAAUGCAUUUCAGCUGACUCCAUGUUGCUUGUAGAUUAAUCUGAAUUUACUGGUAUAAAAAGAUACAAAUGAACCAUAGUCUUAUUCAUUGUUCUUUUUAUUCAUGUGUGGUCCUUUUAAAAGACUGAACCUUCUGGGAAGGAUGUUGAAGCAUUUUCCGUCUUCAUAACAGGACACUAUCCUUGACAGUUUUGUCCCAAAAUCUCAACAUCAGGUUGCCUUACCAUCCUUCUUGUUCUGGAUACUAUGUGACAUGGCCUUAUGUGGAAAUCUUCUCCGCUAUUAUUUGGAGAGAAGGCUGCAUCCAUUCCCCUGAGUUUGGGUUUAGGUAUUGUGAUAUUGUGUUGAUCAUUAAUUAGUUGUUAGGCAGCUUGCUAUUGUUGUCUCUGUGUAGGCGUGAAAGCAGUGCUCAUAAAGAAAUACAGUUUGUUCCAAGCUUAGCUAUCCAUCUUAGCAACCAAAGCCUGUAAUCACACUUCUCAUUUUGAGGUCUCAUUGUGUGAUUUUUCAGGAAUUAGAGCUGCACCUUCAGACUUCUCUGUGGUCUGGUUUAAGCUGUCUGUGGGAUUACAUAUCUUCUGGUGAAAUCCUGACUGCUGACAAUAGGUUAGACUCCAUUGAUGCUAAAGCAAAGAGCAGCAGAUAAUAGCCAGUGCACUUUCAUUUAAAGCAGUGUGACAACAUUUUGUUUCCUACUGGCCUUCAGACUGUUCUGGAGAAGACAGAAGGCCAAAAGAUCACCAGAAUAUUUCUGCUUCUAAUGAAAAAUUACAAUUUCUUCUCAAGUAUCAGACAACUAAUAAGAAAAUGCGCAUCACCAAUUCAGUUUAUUUUUUCUCUGGAAGAGCCUGGCAUUUCUGUCUCAGAAACAUAAAAUGUGCAUGCGUGCAUGACUGCAGUGAUACUACGUUUAAUAGAAUCAUAGGGAAUAGAGUUGAAAUAUUGGUGGAUUAAACUGCAUAGUUUCAUUAUCCUUAAGUUUACCUAUCAGAGAAAUAAAAAUUUGAAAAAUAAUAAAUGUCAUAAAAAAGAAGUAAUUUAUGGCAACAUUUUGCCAUAUAAGUAGCUGGAUUACAGUUGUUUGACAUCUGUAAUGAUUCAUGGCCAUAUCUAGUGGAAUACAACCAUGCUGACCCAGUAUAUCAUACCACCUAGAAAGAAAAAGAGGAUACAUGAAGAUGACACUUGAAUUUGAGUGAGGGCUUCUGGAUUCCAGCAAUGGAGAACUAUAUUUACCAUAAGUCUAAACUUGCCCAAGCAUAAUUUAAGGUAUAGUGGUCCACAGCUUGUGCCAAAAAUAGUUCUGUACAAUAUGUAUACUUCUUGUAGAUAAAAUCAACUCUUUCAUUGACCAGUUUCCUUUAACCACUGUGAUGAACAGAUACUUACUUAUGAACCAAACAUAUAGCAGAGUGACUGAUGUGUGGAUGAUUAAGUCACAAUACCAUAAUAAACUAAUAAAGUUGGUACACAUAAUUGAUUCUAGACCUUGGCUGCAUAUUUGGCAAAACAGUAGCAAAAAACUUCCAGCUGAGGCAGCAACAGAAGUGACAGAGAAUUUGACGUAAACCAGAGCAGAGCAUCAUGACAUAAUAUACUUCAAAGUACCUAAGUUUUUAAAAUCAGCAUAGUUGAAUAUUCUAUUAACCUGACUUCUAGGGUGCAAUGCCAAUGCUUUCUUCUGAGAGAAUAAUUCAAAAUCAUGUUAGAACAUAUAUUUAAUGCAAGUACCUUCACUUUCUUUGAUCCUCUGUUCUUACAUAUAGGGUCCCAGGUUCUUACAGGUGUACGCAAUUCUGGAAGGAUAUCAGCAGUUCCAAGCAUUUCUGGCUAGAAUAUUAGUAAAAUUAGGAUAAUACGUCCAUAGAUCAACAUCCCACGCUUUUUUGUUUGGUUAUGGGGCUUUUUUUUUUUUUUAAAAAAAAAAGAUUAAAAUGGUAAGACUUUUUACAGCUGAAACAACUUUGGAUGUACUGUGAACAAAUCACAUUGUUUUAUGCAAAGACAAGCUAAAAAAUUUAUGAAAUGUUUAUGUUUUCUAUACUAAAGCCUAAAAUAAGUGCUGAAUAUGUUGGCUGUUAUGUAUUGAAAUAUUUUUAAAUUAUAUAAUAUUUUCUUUUAUAUUUUAUAUGUAUCACACAAUAGUAAUAAUAAAUCUUGUGAAUAAUC
Pezoporus occidentalis (night parrot) is the source of this 4099-nucleotide long non-coding RNA. RefSeq lists it as uncharacterized. NCBI's taxonomy places the organism in Eukaryota, Metazoa, Chordata, Aves, Psittaciformes, Psittacidae. The transcript is spliced from 3 exons. The record is from RefSeq and is a predicted model, not a curated record.